GAGAAUAUCCUUGGUUUGCUAAGCCUUAGGAUUCGUGGUUUAACUCCAUGAAGAGCUCG
This 59-nucleotide transfer RNA is filed under the name Stichopus horrens (warty sea cucumber). RNAcentral describes it as "tRNA-Ser". Lineage: Eukaryota; Metazoa; Echinodermata; Holothuroidea; Aspidochirotida; Stichopodidae. The record is from RNAcentral.